GGGAUGUGGCUCUGUGGUAGAGUGCUUGCCUAGCAUGCAUAAAGCCUUGGGUUCAAUCCCCAGUUCUG
This 68-nucleotide transfer RNA is filed under the name Marmota monax (woodchuck). RNAcentral's name for it is "tRNA.Ala". The record is from RNAcentral. Lineage: Eukaryota; Metazoa; Chordata; Mammalia; Rodentia; Sciuridae.